UACGGAGGAUGCAAGCGUUAUCCGGAAUGAUUGGGCGUAAAGCGUCCUCAGGUGGCUAUGUAAGUCUGCUGUUAAAGAGUGAGGCUCAACCUCAUAAAAGCAGUGGAAACUACAUGGCUAGAGUGCGUUCGGGGCAGAGGGAAUUCCUGGUGUAGCGGCGAAAUGCGUAGAGAUCAGGAAGAACACCGGUGGCGAAGGCGGCUCUCUGGGACGGUACUGACGCUGAGACGCGAAAGCGUGGGGAGCGAACAGG
This 253-nucleotide ribosomal RNA is filed under the name uncultured bacterium. RNAcentral's name for it is "partial 16S ribosomal RNA". It matches the Rfam family "Bacterial small subunit ribosomal RNA", at positions 524 to 776 of the family's 1533-position model. The record is from RNAcentral.